CCUCAGUGUGGCAUCAGUGGGGAAUAUUGGACAAUGUGCGAAAGCCUGAUCCAGCCAUUCCGCGUGUGUGAAGAAGGCCUUCGGGUUGUAAAGCACUUUCAGUGGGGAAGAAAGCCUUGGGGCUAAUACCCUCGAGGAAGGACAUCACCCACAGAAGAAGCACCGGCUAACUCCGUGCCAGCAGCCGCGGUAAUACGGAGGGUGCGAGCGUUAAUCGGAAUUACUGGGCGUAAAGCGCGCGUAGGCGGUCUGAUAAGCCGGUUGUGAAAGCCCCGGGCUCAACCUGGGAACGGCAUCCGGAACUGUCAGGCUAGAGUGCAGGAGAGGAAGGUAGAAUUCCCGGUGUAGCGGUGAAAUGCGUAGAGAUAGGGAGGAAUACCAGUGGCGAAGGCGGCCUUCUGGACUGACACUGACGCUGAGGUGCGAAAGCGUGGGUAGCAAAUAGGAUUAGAUACCCUGGUAGUC
This 465-nucleotide ribosomal RNA is filed under the name Vreelandella stevensii. Its description in RNAcentral is "partial 16S ribosomal RNA". It matches the Rfam family "Bacterial small subunit ribosomal RNA", at positions 338 to 795 of the family's 1533-position model. Lineage: Bacteria; Pseudomonadati; Pseudomonadota; Gammaproteobacteria; Oceanospirillales; Halomonadaceae. The record is from RNAcentral.